Molecule: small RNA, 269 nt
Filed under: Arabidopsis thaliana (thale cress)
Lineage: Eukaryota; Viridiplantae; Streptophyta; Magnoliopsida; Brassicales; Brassicaceae
Description: ATSL044640
Source: RNAcentral
AAAAAGUUCAUUAGGGGGAUCAUAUAUAUGAAAGUUGGCUAAUACUCUCCAUAUGAGUGACACAUCAUCACACAAGAAAAUGACAAGUGUAAUUCUACAUUAAUUAAAUUAAAAAACUAGCAAAACUAAUUGAGAAAAAAACAAAAGUCUUUUGUUGUGUUAAAUUCUCCAUUAAUCUCACUCUUAAAUGAAUUUUCUAAAACCAUUCAAUAAAUAAAAAUUAUAAUAAUGUACCAAGCACAACUUUCAUUCUAUUCUAUUUAUUUAAU